This 961-nucleotide ribosomal RNA is filed under the name uncultured candidate division WS6 bacterium. Its description in RNAcentral is "bacterial SSU rRNA". It matches the Rfam family "Bacterial small subunit ribosomal RNA", at positions 375 to 1334 of the family's 1533-position model. The record is from RNAcentral.
ACGAAAGUCUGACGCCGCGACAUCGCGUGGAGGAUGAAGGUCUUCGGAUUGUAAACUCCUUUUCUUACCGAACAAGUUCUGAGUGUAGGUAAGGAAUAAGUGCCUGCUAACCACGUGCCAGAAGCAUCGGUAAUACGUGGGGCACGAGCGUUAUCCGGAUUUACUGGGCGUAAAGAGAAGCGUAGGCGGCUCGAUAAGUCUGGUGUUAAAUCUUCCGGCUCAACCGGAAACAAGCACCGAAAACUAUCGAGAUUGAGUCGAGUAGGGAAGAGGGGAAUUCCUGGUGGAGCGGUUAAAUGCGUAGAUAUCAGGAGGAAUACCAAGGGCGAAGGCACCUCUUUGGACUCGUACUGACGCUGAGGCUCGAAAGCGUGGGUAGCAAAACGGAUUAGAUACCCGUGUAGUCCACGCCGUAAACGAUCCCUGUUAGAUGUAUGUUUUGUCUGUUUAUUUUUCCUUCGGGAAGGGUAAAGGGCAAGAUGUGUGUCGUAGUUAACGCGUUAAACAGGGCGCCUGGGAAGUACGGCCGCAAGGCUAAAACCCAAAGGAAUUGACGGGGACCCGCACAAGCAGUGGAGCGCCUGGUUUAAUUCGAUGGUCAGCGAAGAACCUCACCUAGGCUUGAACUGUAGCUGCACGCUCCCAGAAACGGGAGAAUCCUUCGAGGGUGCUACAGAGGUGCUGCAUGGCUGUCGUCAGCUCGUGUCGUGAGAUGUAGGGUUAAGUCCCACAACGAGCGCAACCCCUAUUCAGUGUUAUAAUUACUCUGAAGACUGCCCUGUCCAAACGGGGAGGAAGGAGGGGACGACGUCCAGUCAUCAUGUCCCUUAUGUCUAGGGCUACACAGACGCUACAAUGGCCGGUACAAUGGGUUGCCAAACCGCGAGGUGGAGCCAAUCCCAUCAAAGCCGGUCCCAGUUCGGAUUGCAGUCUGCAACUCGACUGCAUGAAGUUGGAAUUG